Dromaius novaehollandiae (emu) is the source of this 2072-nucleotide long non-coding RNA. RefSeq lists it as uncharacterized. The transcript has 5 exons. NCBI's taxonomy places the organism in Eukaryota, Metazoa, Chordata, Aves, Casuariiformes, Dromaiidae. The record is from RefSeq and is a predicted model, not a curated record.
AGCAACCUGAAGAGAUGAAAAUAGAGAAAGGAAGCAGGCAGAACAUUAGUGGAAGAGGAGUUCCACUAUCGUGAUCCUGUUUGGGCAUCUGCACGCGAGUGUUUGUUUUCCCUUCUGCCAGGGGACUCCUGCAUGUGCCUCCUUCCUUCCCCUCCCCGUGUGCUUCCUCUGCCCUCAUCACAAAAAUCACUUUUCGUUAGACAUGGGAAAGCCAUCAGCACCUUCCGUCGCUCAGAACACCGUUUGCUGGAGCAGCUCUCGGAGUUACCAUCUUUGGCUCUCCCUGAAUGGAUCAUUUGCAAGAAAAUUACAGUAUGUGUCUGUCUGAAGUACCAGCUAAUUGAACACUCAGAAGACAAUCAGUGAUGCACUCCUGGAAGUCAGGCUAUGGACCAAAGAAACCAAAAGAUUUAUUGCACAGCUUUACCAUCGUGUCACUGCCUGAAUCCCUCGUCUGUGCCUCUGCAUGUGAAAAAGGAAGAAGCCCUCACGACCCUAGGACCCAGAGAUGCCAGAUGCCAUGCUUGCCUUGAAGCUGUUGCCAUGGGAUUUGUUGUCUGUACUCACUACUUUCUCUAAAUGAACCUGGGCCUAGUAUUUUUUGCAGGAUUCUGGUAGUUCCCCUUUCUUUCAUCUCCACAGGAGGAAAAAAUACUGCUUUGAAAUUUGGGGGUGGACUGCCUUCAAGAUCUGCUGCUAAUGCCCAUAGCCUUGCCAUUCUUAAUGCAGGUAAAAAAAUCAUUUUCUAAGCCUAAGUCACCAGGAAAAGUGCAAGACAUGCUGAUGAGAGAAAGAGCCCACCACCCACUUCUGAUGCAAAGGGACAUGUAGGAACCCAGGUCUUGGUUGUUCUUCACAGCAGCUUAGUAAGAGUCCAGCUAGGAAGUAAUCAAGCAGAACUGCAACACAUGGUAUUUUAGGCAGGAUGAGAACACACAGAAUAUAUUUCACCCAUCAAAUGCAGCUUCCUUCUGUGAGGAAAUGCAUAAGUUUCCUGUAUUGCAUGGUGGAAGGAAAGCUUCAAGGUAACCUGACCUAAGCUAUUAAUAUCUAAUCAGGUUCCUCUGGCUCUUUCAGUGUCUUUGCCUACUUUGUAUUCAUUUAGUGAAGGCAGCUGGUAUAAUGUGUGUAUGUUUCUAUCUACCCUGUCUUGGAAAACAGACUGUGCUGUAAUGUGAGGGCCAAGGCAAGCUGCGCCCAUGCUGAGCUAUCUGUCAUGUAACUGAAGAAUGGUUUGUUUAAUUGACUGAGAUUGUCUUUAGCAACCCAUUCAGAAGGAUUGAGAAAUUAUUUUUUUAGUUGACAUAUUUGCUUCCCCCAGUGAGGACUUCAGUUUGUUAUCAUUAGCAGCAACUUUCUAUCUGAUUUUGUCAGAAUUCUGCUUGAUUCUUUCAGAACAGCCAAAGCUGACAGCUGUUUUAAGCAGGAGGAAAACUGACUUCAUUAGUUCUGUGCUGUCAGCACUGGAAACUGUGUGUUUAAAGUUAUAUGCAUACAUAUAUAUAUAUAAUAUACAUAUAUUUCAUUUUACAGCAUAAAAUAAUAAGGCAGGAACCGUUCAUUUAAUAUAUCAAAGUGCUGUGCACAACUAUUGUUCUGUAUCAUAAAAGCAAUAUAAGGUAAAUCACUUAUACAUUUACUUGUGUACGACUUAAAAUAUCUAAAGCUGGAAUCAAAUAUACUUCAGUUUCAAACUAAUUGAAAGUUAUCAUUUAAAACUGCCGAACCUGUGUUUUGGUGCUGUAGUAAAUCAGACUUUCAAGGUCUUGUGAUUUUGACCAGCACAGAGCGUGCAGUCUUUCAGAACGUUUAAGCAGAAAGAAAAGCAAAAUUAUUAAUAAAUGUUCUGUAAUAACAUUCUGUUAUCCUUCACAGCCCUGUUAUCCUUCCCUCACACUUUGAUGCUCCCUGGACUUCAUAAGAUGCUUCCGGAUUCCAGGUUUAGGUCCUGCCCCUCUUUGCAAACAAAUAUUUUCCUAGCGUGUGUCCCGAUCCAGUAUCGGGGGGGUUUCGUUACGAUCCCAAGGACGAGAUUAAGAUGCUAAAUCUGGUCAAAUAUUGUACAACCUUUU